RNAcentral lists this ribosomal RNA (711 nucleotides) under Bacillus altitudinis. RNAcentral's name for it is "bacterial SSU rRNA". It matches the Rfam family "Bacterial small subunit ribosomal RNA", at positions 56 to 750 of the family's 1533-position model. RNAcentral also lists the same sequence under 1 other name. The record is from RNAcentral. Lineage: Bacteria; Bacillati; Bacillota; Bacilli; Caryophanales; Bacillaceae.
UGCAAGUCGAGCGGACAGAAGGGAGCUUGCUCCCGGAUGUUAGCGGCGGACGGGUGAGUAACACGUGGGUAACCUGCCUGUAAGACUGGGAUAACUCCGGGAAACCGGAGCUAAUACCGGAUAGUUCCUUGAACCGCAUGGUUCAAGGAUGAAAGACGGUUUCGGCUGUCACUUACAGAUGGACCCGCGGCGCAUUAGCUAGUUGGUGAGGUAACGGCUCACCAAGGCGACGAUGCGUAGCCGACCUGAGAGGGUGAUCGGCCACACUGGGACUGAGACACGGCCCAGACUCCUACGGGAGGCAGCAGUAGGGAAUCUUCCGCAAUGGACGAAAGUCUGACGGAGCAACGCCGCGUGAGUGAUGAAGGUUUUCGGAUCGUAAAGCUCUGUUGUUAGGGAAGAACAAGUGCAAGAGUAACUGCUUGCACCUUGACGGUACCUAACCAGAAAGCCACGGCUAACUACGUGCCAGCAGCCGCGGUAAUACGUAGGUGGCAAGCGUUGUCCGGAAUUAUUGGGCGUAAAGGGCUCGCAGGCGGUUUCUUAAGUCUGAUGUGAAAGCCCCCGGCUCAACCGGGGAGGGUCAUUGGAAACUGGGAAACUUGAGUGCAGAAGAGGAGAGUGGAAUUCCACGUGUAGCGGUGAAAUGCGUAGAGAUGUGGAGGAACACCAGUGGCGAAGGCGACUCUCUGGUCUGUAACUGACGCUGAG